GAUGAACGCUGGCGGCGUGCCUAAUACAUGCAAGUCGAGCGAACAGACGAGGAGCUUGCUCCUCUGACGUUAGCGGAACAAGGGUGUGUCACACGUGGAUAAUCUACCUAUAAGACUGGGAUAACUUCGGGAAACCGGAGCUAAUACCGUAUAAUAUAUUGAACCGCAUGGUUCGAUAGUGAAAGACGGUUUUGCUGUAACUUAUCGAUGGAUCCGCGCCGCAUUAGCUAGUUGGUAGGGUAACGGCUUACCAAGGCGACGAUGCGUAGCCGACCUGAGAGAGGGGUCGGCCACAUGGGAACUGGAACACGGUCCAGACGCCUACGAGAGGCAGCAGUAGGGAACCGUCCGCAGUGGUCGAAAGCCUGACGGAGCAGCGCCGCGUGAGUGAUAAAAGUCUUCGGUUCGUGAAGAGCGGUUAUGAGUGAUGAACAAAUGUGUAAUGAACUAUGGACGUCGUGACGGUACCUAGUCAGAAAGCAACGGCUAACUACGUG
Molecule: ribosomal RNA, 497 nt
Filed under: uncultured bacterium
Lineage: Bacteria
Description: partial 16S ribosomal RNA
Rfam family: Bacterial small subunit ribosomal RNA
Source: RNAcentral